RNAcentral lists this ribosomal RNA (240 nucleotides) under uncultured bacterium. RNAcentral's name for it is "partial 16S ribosomal RNA". It matches the Rfam family "Bacterial small subunit ribosomal RNA", at positions 118 to 359 of the family's 1533-position model. The record is from RNAcentral.
UGAGCAAUCUGCCCUUCUCAUCGGAAUAAGCGUUGGAAACGACGUCUAAUGCCGAAUACGACCUCCACGGGCAUCUGUGGAGGUGGAAAGGGUUUCCGGCUGAGGAUGGGCCCGCGGCCUAUCAGCUUGUUGGUGGGGUGACGGCCCACCAAGGCGACGACGGGUAGCCGGCCUGAGAGGGUGACCGGCCACACUGGGACUGAGACACGGCCCAGACUCCUACGGGAGGCAGCAGUGGGG